Non-coding RNA from Sturnus vulgaris (Common starling), 272 nucleotides. NCBI's taxonomy places the organism in Eukaryota, Metazoa, Chordata, Aves, Passeriformes, Sturnidae. The record is from RefSeq and is a predicted model, not a curated record.
GCUGUCACUUCGCCGCCUUGACAGCUCCUGCUCGCAUGUCUGCUCGCUGCCCUGUUCGGCUUUCUUCUGAAGGAAUUGUUUUUAACAAACCUGUCAUGAAAGGCUGGAACAGAACCUCUGUUUUUCCUGAGAUGUCUUAGUGCAACUAAUCCAGACAUGGGGAAGGACUGAAAAACAUUCUGCUGACUGACUACCAUACCCUCCCUCCUUCAUUGCAAUUCGGAAAACAUUCUGUGACCACCACGCAAAUACAAAUGACUAAAACAACCAAA